Molecule: ribosomal RNA, 482 nt
Filed under: uncultured bacterium
Lineage: Bacteria
Description: partial 16S ribosomal RNA
Rfam family: Bacterial small subunit ribosomal RNA
Source: RNAcentral
AUGAACGCUGGCGGCGUGCCUCACACAUGCAAGUCGAACGAAGCUUGACGGAUGAUUUCUUCGGAAUGAAACCAGAUAUGACUUAGUGGCGGACGGGUGAGUAACACGUGAGCAACCUGCCUUUCAGAGGGGGAUAACGGCUGGAAACGGUCGCUAAUACCGCAUGAUGUGUUCGGAUGGCAUCAUCUGAACAUCAAAGAUUUAUCGCUGAAAGAUGGGCUCGCGUCUGAUUAGAUAGUUGGUGGGGUAACGGCCUACCAAGUCUACGAUCAGUAGCCGGACUGAGAGGUUGAACGGCCACAUUGGGACUGAGAUACGGCCCAGACUCCUACGGGAGGCAGCAGUGGGGAAUACUGCACAAUGGGGGAAACCCUGAUGCAGCAACGCCGCGUGAAGGAUGACGGUUUUCGGAUUGUAAACUUCUUUUCUUAGUGACGAAGACAGUGACGGUAGCUAAGGAAUAAGCAUCGGCUAACUACGUG